AGGCCAGUAGCUCAAUUUGGCAGAGCACCGCUCUCCAAAAGCGGGGGUUGUGGGUUCGAUUCCUGCCUGGCCUGCCU
This 77-nucleotide transfer RNA is filed under the name Chloroflexi bacterium RBG_13_48_10. RNAcentral's name for it is "tRNA-Trp". It matches the Rfam family "tRNA". Rfam says of the family: Transfer RNA (tRNA) molecules are approximately 80 nucleotides in length. Their secondary structure includes four short double-helical elements and three loops (D, anti-codon, and T loops). Further hydrogen bonds mediate the characteristic L-shaped molecular structure. tRNAs have two regions of fundamental functional importance: the anti-codon, which is responsible for specific mRNA codon recognition, and the 3' end, to which the tRNAs corresponding amino acid is attached (by aminoacyl-tRNA synthetases). tRNAs cope with the degeneracy of the genetic code in two manners: having more than one tRNA (with a specific anti-codon) for a particular amino acid; and 'wobble' base-pairing, i.e. permitting non-standard base-pairing at the 3rd anti-codon position. Lineage: Bacteria; Bacillati; Chloroflexota. The record is from RNAcentral. RNAcentral also lists the same sequence under 7 other names.